UUGGACUUCACAGUUUCCUGUUCAGUUCUGCUGACUUUCUCCCCAGUAAACAAUACAAAUUCUAGACCUGCCAAAAUUUAAGAAAAAAACAAGCAAACUAAAACACAUUUCCCUGGACUGAAAUGGAAAGAUAAUCCAACAAGAGAAUGAAGGAUUAGAAUCUUGAUAUUGUACAGAGCUGAGUGUUUUUCUAUAUACUGUAUAAGCAAUUCCUU
Pogona vitticeps (central bearded dragon) is the source of this 215-nucleotide non-coding RNA. Lineage: Eukaryota; Metazoa; Chordata; Lepidosauria; Squamata; Agamidae. The record is from RefSeq and is a predicted model, not a curated record.